This 1237-nucleotide long non-coding RNA is filed under the name Ovis aries (sheep). RNAcentral describes it as "lncRNA (ENSOARG00000026828.1)". Lineage: Eukaryota; Metazoa; Chordata; Mammalia; Artiodactyla; Bovidae. The record is from RNAcentral.
CAAGUAUAGAUAAAAAGAUGUUCCUAGUCACACAAGGGCUAUUUCUUCACAGUGUAGCCAGACAUUUCUUGUCCUUUCAUUGGUCUUCUACUUUAGUGAUAAAAUAUCUGCUCUCUCAAGCUCAAAUUGUGUCAUCCUAGGUUAUGUAGUCAAGAAUAAAAGGCCACAGCAUCCAGCAGCAGCACAGACUUGCUUCUGAUGCUUCUGUAAUCACCUGUAAGCUCCAAAACUUGACAUCAUGGUGCAUUUUACUGCCGAGAAGAAAGCUGCUAUCACUAGCUUGUGGGGCAAAGUGAAUGUGAAGAGGCUGGAGGCGAGGCUCUGGGCAGCAUUACCAUCGGGAAAAAGAAGUGGGGAAAGAGACCUUACUUUCUCAUCGGUCUCCAACCCUCCUUGCAUCCGGUCUGCAAGUUCUUCCUUCAAAGUGACUCCUGGAUGGCCCCAGCCCCGGGGACUGUUUGUUUCUCCUCAGCUUCUCCCAGGUGGAGCCUUGGUGUUUCACACACACAGAGGAAGGAGCAGGAUAAAUUCUUCCAUGACAGACCCAGCCUGAUGCCCCUCAAGUGACACUGGUGCCAUCCUGCCUACCCUCGUCCUUUUUCAGUACAGAUGACCUGGCUUCUCUUUUUAAAAGUUAGCAGCUGCUGGUGAGUCUCUACUGCUGUCCUGUGCCAGGGUCUCAGGGGUGGGUGUUAAGGGGUCGUAGGAAAAGAAAGGGAGAAAAUACAGGGAGAAUGAAAUGUAGAGAUUUCCAAGAAAGCAAUGAUCCUGGAAGGAGGUGGUCUGAGUUCUCAUCCUCACUCCUCACCUAACACUUAAAUGACUUUAGACAGGUUUAUUCCCUAUAUUGGAACUUGCUUAGCUUUUUUCAUUUGCAAAAUGAAAUUUUGGGAUCCAGGCUGUCACAGAAGCACUUUCACUUCUGAUAUUCAGUGUUUGCAUAGACCCAGAGCCAGAGAGGGAUCAAGGCUUGCCCACUCUAGAAGUGGGGAUGGCCAUCUGCACUAUCAUGUUUCUUGGGUCUGAGAGAGAGGUGCCUCUCUCCUCCUGACCAUAGUCUCCAUGGCCAGGCCAAUUCCUUCCUGGCUCCUGUCUGGAAUCAGCUUUCAAAUGCCAUUGGAACGUCACAAACCCUCAGGUCUCCAUAGACUCUUCUCUGGUAAAGCUGGCUAUUACAUAUAGCCUUCCCUUUUCCUCUUAUCCACCAAACAGCUACUCACUUAACAGCACACACAUU